CACAAAGGGAAAAAACGCAUUCCACUCCGU
Molecule: non-coding RNA, 30 nt
Filed under: Mus musculus (house mouse)
Lineage: Eukaryota; Metazoa; Chordata; Mammalia; Rodentia; Muridae
Source: RNAcentral